This is an RNA transcript of Myotis myotis, 3609 nucleotides long. It is a transcript of the gene named zinc finger protein 207, with no coding region annotated. Lineage: Eukaryota; Metazoa; Chordata; Mammalia; Chiroptera; Vespertilionidae. The record is from RefSeq and is a predicted model, not a curated record. The transcript has 14 exons.
AGCGAGGGCGUCGGCCAUUUUGUGUCUGUUUCCUGUGGGACGCGGUGGUGGCGGUUGGGUCUGAGGAGUGAGCGCUUUUCGCCUCGAUUUUCCUGCUUACUUUCUCCUCCGUUUUCACUUCGUCAGUGGAGCGCAGCGAUGGGUCGCAAGAAGAAGAAGCAGCUGAAGCCGUGGUGCUGGUAUUGUAAUAGAGAUUUUGAUGAUGAGAAGAUCCUUAUACAGCACCAAAAAGCAAAACAUUUUAAAUGCCAUAUAUGUCAUAAGAAGUUGUACACAGGACCCGGCUUGGCUAUACAUUGCAUGCAGGUGCAUAAAGAGACAAUAGAUGCUGUACCAAAUGCAAUACCUGGGAGAACAGACAUAGAGUUGGAAAUAUAUGGUAUGGAAGGUAUUCCAGAAAAAGACAUGGAUGAAAGAAGAAGACUUCUUGAACAGAAAACACAGGAGAGUCAAAAAAAGAAGCAGCAAGAUGAUUCUGAUGAAUAUGAUGAUGACGACUCUGCAGCUUCAACUUCAUUUCAACCACAGCCUGUUCAACCCCAACAAGGCUAUAUACCCCCAAUGGCACAGCCAGGACUACCACCAGUUCCGGGAGCACCAGGAAUGCCUCCAGGCAUACCUCCAUUAAUGCCAGGUGUUCCUCCUCUGAUGCCAGGAAUGCCACCAGUUAUGCCAGGCAUGCCACCUGGAUUGCAUCAUCAGAGAAAAUACACCCAGUCAUUUUGCGGUGAAAACAUAAUGAUGCCAAUGGGUGGAAUGAUGCCACCUGGACCAGGAAUACCACCUCUAAUGCCUGGUAUGCCACCAGGUAUGCCCCCUCCUGUUCCACGUCCUGGAAUUCCGCCAAUGACUCAAGCACAGGCUGUUUCAGCACCAGGUAUUCUUAAUAGACCACCUGCACCAACAGCAACAGUUCCUGCUCCACAGCCUCCAGUUACUAAGCCUCUUUUCCCCAGUGCCGGACAGAUGGGGACACCUGUAACAAGCUCAAGUACAGCUUCAUCCAAUUCAGAAAGUCUGUCUGCAUCUUCUAAAGCUCUGUUUCCUAGCACAGCACAAGCUCAGGCAGCUGUCCAAGGACCUGUUGGUACAGAUUUCAAGCCCUUAAGUAGUACCCCUGCAACAACUACAGAACCCCCGAAGCCUACAUUCCCUGCUUAUACACAGUCUACAGCUUCAACCACUAGUACAACAAAUAGCACUGCAGCUAAACCAGCGGCAUCAAUAACAAGUAAGCCUGCUACUCUUACAACAACCAGUGCAACCAGUAAGUUGAUCCAUCCAGAUGAGGAUAUAUCGUUGGAAGAAAGAAGGGCACAGUUACCUAAAUAUCAACGUAAUCUUCCUCGUCCAGGACAGACUCCCAUUGGUAAUCCACCAGUUGGACCAAUUGGAGCUAUGAUGCCACCACAGCCAGGCAUCCCACAACAACAAGGAAUGAGACCCCCAAUGCCACCUCAUGGUCAGUAUGGUGGUCAUCAUCAAGGCAUGCCAGGUUACCUUCCUGGUGCUAUGCCACCAUAUGGGCAGGGACCGCCAAUGGUGCCCCCUUAUCAAGGUGGGCCUCCUCGACCUCCGAUGGGAAUGAGACCUCCUGUAAUGUCGCAAGGUGGCCGUUACUGAUCUCGCUUCAUCCAAUCUAAUAGGUUUUUAGAAGUGAAGUAUAGUAAAUUUGGUUCGUUAUAUUGUGAAGGCGCUGGAAUUUCAUGAACAUACCACCUUAAUAAAGUCAGAGUGAAAAGAUUUGCAGCAUUAUUUCCCAGCCUCUACUCAUAAAACAACGCUGCUUAACUACCCAAGUGAUGCAACAGAAGAGUUAAUAAAGUCCUGUAAGUUUGAAUUAAAAACAUAAAAGGGCGUGUAGUGAGUGAGCAAAGCCUCCCUUUUAGCUAUUAGUUCUGUGUACUUCCAGGAGAAGAAAUAGAAUUUACUUUUCAGCCCAUAUAAUUUAAAAUCUUUAAGUUUAACAUAAAGUGAAAUCAAUUUUUUGAAAAAUUGAAUUAGUGUUAAAUUGCCUUUGUGGGGUGUGUCUACAUAUACCUAAAUUAAGAAAUUAUCACAUUUAAGUGAUCUCCCCCACCCCCAACCCCGCUGGAUAUAGGCCCCUCCCCUUUUAGAAUAAGAAAAAUUUCCACAUAAUACACAAUAUGUUUUAUUAAAAUUCAGCUAUGUCCAAAAGAUAGUGUUAUUAAUUCAUUCUCUUAAGGUCACUACAUUUAAUAGCCAAUGUAAGAUAAUUUUUGUAAGAUGUAGGGAAAAUUUUUUUUAAUGUAUUAAUGUCAGGGUCUGAGGAAAUUUAAUGCACAUUGACUUUUUAAAGUAUGGGUUGAACUCCUCAGUUUAAUACAAUUUGUGUUUUUGUUAACUAGCAGCAGAAUUUCAGCAUUUGCUACUUACUGGUAGAGAAGAAAAACCCCACAGCCCUGCCAGUACAGGUUAGUUUAAUCUGUAAGUACCUGAUAUUCCUAUUUUUUUUUUCAAACAUAUCCACAUAACCCACACAAGGAAGAAAGCUGCAGUUGCUUAAAUGUGAGUAUGACUAAUAAUAGACCCAUUGGACACUUUCAGACACUCUACUUGGGCAAAUUAUUAGCUUUAGGUUUGCUAACCUCCAUUGUAAUAGAGGGUAAUACUACUCCUUUAUUAUUUGGUUGUGGUUGAACCUAAAUAGAUAUAUUGUACAUAAAAGGAAAAGACAGUGAAAGUUUCUAUUAGCUAUAUGCUAAUUUUGGUAUGUCAUAUGGAAUGCAGGGCUUGGAUCCAGGGUCUUUUACUUAAGUCACUUCUGUGGUGGUAUUUUAUUUACCUUUCAACUUUUUACAGUAUGAAUCAACCCAAAAAGUUUCCUCACCUUUAGCAAUGAUAAAUGGUGGGUUUUUUAGCUCAUAAAAAGUUUUAGUAAUUUGCUGUAAAUAAGUACUAAUUUUGUUCAUUUUUUGUAAACUAGAACCUAUUCUGUUGGUGCACCACCAUGAUGGGUUUAUUUUACUUUGAACCAAAAAUAACAAACCUUACUUUUUAAAUAUUCAAAUGAAAGCUGACUACCCAUCAAGAAAUCUAGGUGGAUUCUCCAUAUGUUUCUUUUGAGGAGCAGAGAUGUAAUGGAUUGUAAAAGAUGUUCAAGUUUUUAUUAUUGUUUUUAUUGGUCUACUAUAGUUUAUUGUUGCCUUGAACCAUCCGUGAGAAAUAUCCUUUAACCUUUAAAUACUGUACUCUUAUGUUGAUAAAAAUUUAAAAUACCAAGAUGAAGAAUAAAGCAUGCAGCUUAGCUUUUAUGAAAGCCUGAACCAUCCUUCCAGUUUGUAGCAUUGAUGGAUUCAUGGCUUCCUCCUUUACACCGAAGUGUAAUGUUGUCUAAUUUGAUUGAGACAGUCCACCCAUAAAAGCAACUAGGAUGGUGAUCAACAUUCAGUUAAAUUUUUUUAAAGCCUCAAUUUAUCAACUGAUGAAAAAAUAUAUAUUUUAUAAGGUAUCCACUUGGUUUUUAAUACAAAAUUACCUAAGGGCUUAAGUUUCAUUGCCUUUCACAGUUAAAACUGUAUAAGAAAUGGUGUAGAUGCAGUGGAAAUGGUUUUCCUUAAAACCAUCUCUUUAAAGCUGCCAUUCUGG